This 468-nucleotide ribosomal RNA is filed under the name uncultured bacterium. RNAcentral's name for it is "partial 16S ribosomal RNA". It matches the Rfam family "Bacterial small subunit ribosomal RNA", at positions 28 to 507 of the family's 1533-position model. The record is from RNAcentral.
GACGAACGCUGGCGGCGUGCUUAACACAUGCAAGUCGAACGGAAAGGCCCUGCUUUUGUGGGGUGCUCGAGUGGCGAACGGGUGAGUAACACGUGUGUAACCUGCCCUUGACUUUGGGAUAACUUCAGGAAACUGGGGCUAAUACCGGGUAGGAGCUCCUGCUGCAUGGUGGGGGUUGGAAAGUUUCGGCGGUUGGGGAUGGACUCGCGGCUUAUGAGCUUGUUGGUGGAGUAGUGGCUUACCAAGGCUUUGACGGCUAGCCGGCCUGAGAGGGGGACCGGCCUCAUUGGGACUGAGAGAGGGCCCAGACUCCUACGGGAGGCAGCAGUGGGGAAUAUUGCACAGUGGGCGGAAGCCUGAUGCAGCAACGCCGCGUGCGGGAUGACGGCUUUCGGGUUGUAAACCGCUUUCGACUGUGACGAAGCGUGAUUGACGGUAAUGGGUAAAGAAGCACCGGCUAACUACGUG